Apis mellifera (honey bee) is the source of this 1191-nucleotide long non-coding RNA. RefSeq lists it as uncharacterized. Lineage: Eukaryota; Metazoa; Arthropoda; Insecta; Hymenoptera; Apidae. The transcript has 4 exons. The record is from RefSeq and is a predicted model, not a curated record.
UCAUGCGAACAGACGGAAUUCACAAUUCUUGCUUUAAUUAUACUUCCUCGCAAGCAAAGUUGGACAUAACCUAAAAAAAUGCUCCAGAGGACAGCACAGGACGAGUACAAACCGACAAGUUUUGCUGGUCGUUUAAGUAAGAGGCCGUUCUGGCAAUUGUUGCGAUCGUUGAUAUCGAGUUACACUUCGUAUGUGUACACCGUGAUCUCACACAUGCGCAGUUGUUGCUAAAGCAUCCGUGACAUAGAACGAUCAGGUUAAAGUUCUUGCCAAACUCUCGUUAGACACGAGGAGAGGGAUAGCGAGAGAUUAACAAGAAAACGGAUAAAACAGAUGGCGAUGGAACGAAGAAAAGAGAGAAAUGGAUACGGAUGGAAAGGACCUCUAUGGACGAUCACGUUCUGCUCUUGGCGGCGCAGGGGGCGCAGAAGAAGAUUAGGACAGCGCCACCACCGAGAAUUAAGACAAGCAUGGCCAAGAUCGUCCAUACGGUGGAGAAGGGAGUGACACGGGUGGACAGUAAUCUUUUGGCCGCUGGCAAGUCUACAAUCUCGUCUGUGCUCAAACCAGAUCUCCUCGCCUUGCCGAGCAAGAACUUGAGACGUCUCGAUGCCUUCUCACAGGACAUAUCCUUCUAUUUCGGUUGUACUUUUAUCAAGAUAUCUAUUUAUCGUGUUCCCUUCGUGUUCAUCAUUGUUUUCUCAAUGUUGAAAAUGUUUCUUCUUUCGAAAUUUAUCCUUCGAAAAAUAAUCUUUAUUAUUCGUCGAUAUGGAACGAUGGAUUCUUAAAAAUUCGUACGAGAAUUUUAAGACGGUUUCUUUUUAAAGGUUAAAAUAGAAAAAAACUCUUGAUGAUGUUUUUCACGGUUAGUCCAGGAUACGGUCCAUCACCUGACAAUGACAAUGCAGGUGUCUCUGGCCGCAUAGGGAAUGGACGGGAUUGUGCUUGUCCACCUUGAUCUUUCGUGAAAAACUGUAAAAAAGAGUGAAACGUUUGAGCAAUUUUCUCACAAGAAUCAAACUAAUUCGUAAUUUAAUGUCUAAAUUUUAAAGAAGAAAUGUAAACAUAAACAUUUCCAUGUUCUUUGUGCUUCUCCUCUUUAUCCGUCGGUUAAUUACGUUCAACUUAAUUGAAGAGAUAUUUUUGCCAGAGCGUCUACAUCCUUUGAAAAGCUAGUGGAUUUAGAAGAGG